RNA transcript from Capsicum annuum, 1246 nucleotides. It is a transcript of the gene named protein DEHYDRATION-INDUCED 19 homolog 5, with no coding region annotated. Lineage: Eukaryota; Viridiplantae; Streptophyta; Magnoliopsida; Solanales; Solanaceae. The transcript is spliced from 7 exons. The record is from RefSeq and is a predicted model, not a curated record.
CAACACAGCAUUUCAUCAUCUAAGCAAUACAAAAGCAGCAACACUCCUUUGUUCCUCUUUAUUCUUCUUCCUAAUUCCUAAAUCUUGGAAACCAUCUUUGUCUGAAUACUGUUUUGUUUGUUUGAUUUAGGUAUCUUAUUCAACAAAAUCUGAGAACCCCUUUAUUCUUUUCUUCAAUUAGAAGAAGCUGACUUGUACUACUUUGAUAAAUUUAAGAAAAAAAGAGAGAAAUUUGGGAAAAUGGAUGACUUUUGGGCUGCAAGAAUAAAUUCAGCUAGGCAAAAUCUUUCUGCUGUACAAACAAACAGGCUCAGCAACUAUGCAGAUAAUGUUGAAGGAGAAGAGGAUGUAAGAGCCUGGUUCCCUUGCCCUUUCUGUUAUGUAGAAAUUGAAGUCCAAAUGCUUUGCAACCAUCUGCAAGAAGAGCAUUGCUUUGACUUCAAAAACGCGGUUUGUCCCAUAUGUGCUGCAACUUUAGGUAAAGAUCCUCUCGGGCAUUUUAUGGUACAGCAUGCACAAUCAGUGAAGAGGAAGAGAAAGUACCUGAAGUCGGGCUUCUGGAAUAAUACUACAGCAAUAAGCGGCAAGGACCCCCACGAAAUAAAUUUGUUCUUCUGCACAAAUUUAGGGGUUGGUCGUUACAAUGUACAAGAACUUGCUCCUGAUCCCCUUCUGCUGCCAUUCCUUUGUGGCGUGACUCCUUCCGAUCCUAAAGACGGUCAAGAUAAAUCUCCUGGUAGUGUUGCUGCUACUCCUGAUGCAGAAAGGUGGUGUUCUUUCCUUCUUUCUCAACCCAAAGCAAGUCGACUUCUUGAGAAACCAAUGUAUGUCAUUCAACGUAGAUUCAGCUUCUUUCUGGUGUAUCAUCUUUAGUGCUCCCAUCAUGUUGUUACAAGAAGACAGCCAGAUCCUUUAAGUGAGUAAAAGAUGAUCAACUGUGGUGAUGAAAGGGCACUGAUACCGAUGGACACAUUUAACAUGAAACAAAGGAGACUCUCUACAUUUAUCAACAAUUGACGCGUCCAGAUCAUGGAUGAGCAAACUCCCAAUAAGUGAUCCAGCCCUGGAAGAAGAGUAUGAACAGAAAAUGCAUAGAGCUACGUUUGUUCAAGAGCUUAUUGCUUCAACUAUCUUCUAAGACGUGCAUAACCAGACACAGCCAUUGGAGAGAACAGCUUUAGAACAUGAUGUAUGAGAAUAAUGGUCCACAGAAACAUAAUAUAUAGAUGUUAUAUGUUUUCCACUA